This 482-nucleotide ribosomal RNA is filed under the name uncultured bacterium. RNAcentral's name for it is "partial 16S ribosomal RNA". It matches the Rfam family "Bacterial small subunit ribosomal RNA", at positions 30 to 507 of the family's 1533-position model. The record is from RNAcentral.
AUUGAACGCUGGCGGCAGGCCUAACACAUGCAAGUCGAGCGGAUGAAGGGAGCUUGCUCCUGGAUUCAGCGGCGGACGGGUGAGUAAUGCCUAGGAAUCUGCCUGGUAGUGGGGGAUAACGUCCGGAAACGGGCGCUAAUACCGCAUACGUCCUGAGGGAGAAAGUGGGGGAUCUUCGGACCUCACGCUAUCAGAUGAGCCUAGGUCGGAUUAGCUAGUUGGUGGGGUAAAGGCCUACCAAGGCGACGAUCCGUAACUGGUCUGAGAGGAUGAUCAGUCACAAUGGAACUGAGACACGGUCCAGACUCCUACGGGAGGCAGCAGUGGGGAAUAUUGGACAAUGGGCGAAAGCCUGAUCGAGCCAUGCCGCGUGUGAAGAAGGUCUUCGGAUUGUAAAGCACUUUAAGUUGGGAGGAAGGGCAGUAAGUUAAUACCUUGCUGUUUUGACGUUACCAACAGAAUAAGCACCGGCUAACUUCGUG